UAGCUCACUAAGUAGAGCGCAUGCCUCCCAUGCAUGAGGCCCUGAGUUUGAACCCCAG
RNAcentral lists this transfer RNA (58 nucleotides) under Erinaceus europaeus (western European hedgehog). It matches the Rfam family "tRNA", at positions 8 to 63 of the family's 71-position model. Rfam says of the family: Transfer RNA (tRNA) molecules are approximately 80 nucleotides in length. Their secondary structure includes four short double-helical elements and three loops (D, anti-codon, and T loops). Further hydrogen bonds mediate the characteristic L-shaped molecular structure. tRNAs have two regions of fundamental functional importance: the anti-codon, which is responsible for specific mRNA codon recognition, and the 3' end, to which the tRNAs corresponding amino acid is attached (by aminoacyl-tRNA synthetases). tRNAs cope with the degeneracy of the genetic code in two manners: having more than one tRNA (with a specific anti-codon) for a particular amino acid; and 'wobble' base-pairing, i.e. permitting non-standard base-pairing at the 3rd anti-codon position. The record is from Rfam by way of RNAcentral. Lineage: Eukaryota; Metazoa; Chordata; Mammalia; Eulipotyphla; Erinaceidae.